GAUGAACGCUGGCGGCGUGCUUAACACAUGCAAGUCGAACGGAAACAUAUUGAAACCUAGUGAUAUAUGUUUUAGUGGCGGACGGGUGAGUAACGCGUGGGUAACCUGCCUUGUACUGGGGGAUAACAGUUAGAAAUAGCUGCUAAUACCGCAUAAGACCACAGUUUCGCAUGAAACAGAGGUAAAACUCCGGUGGUACAAGAUGGACCCGCGUCUGAUUAGCUAGUUGGUGAGGUAACGGCUCACCAAGGCGACGAUCAGUAGCCGGCCUGAGAGGGUGAACGGCCACAUUGGGACUGAGACACGGCCCAA
RNAcentral lists this ribosomal RNA (312 nucleotides) under uncultured bacterium. RNAcentral's name for it is "bacterial SSU rRNA". It matches the Rfam family "Bacterial small subunit ribosomal RNA", at positions 28 to 334 of the family's 1533-position model. The record is from RNAcentral.